This 314-nucleotide unclassified non-coding RNA is filed under the name plant metagenome. RNAcentral describes it as "partial contains 5.8S ribosomal RNA, internal transcribed spacer 2, and large subunit ribosomal RNA". The stretch from base 1 to 105 matches the Rfam family "5.8S ribosomal RNA", at positions 50 to 154 of the family's 154-position model. The record is from RNAcentral.
CAAAUGCGAUAAUUAAUGUGAAUUGCAGAAUUCAGUGAAUCAUCGAGUCUUUGAACGCACAUUGCGCCCCCUGGUAUUCCGGGGGGCAUGCCUGUCCGAGCGUCAUUGCUGCCCUCAAGCACGGCUUGUGUGUUGGGCUUCCGUCCCUGGCAACGGGGACGGGCCCAAAAGGCAGUGGCGGCACCAUGUCUGGUCCUCGAGCGUAUGGGGCUUUGUCACCCGCUCCCGUAGGUCCAGCUGGCAGCUAGCCUCGCAACCAAUCUUUUUAACCAGGUUGACCUCGGAUCAGGUAGGGAUACCCGCUGAACUUAAGC